GAUGAACGCUGGCGGCGUGCCUAAUACAUGCAAGUCGAGCGAACGGACGAGAAGCUUGCUUCUCUGAUGUUAGCGGCGGACGGGUGAGUAACACGUGGAUAACCUACCUAUAAGACUGGGAUAACUUCGGGAAACCGGAGCUAAUACCGGAUGAUAUUUUGAACCGCAUGGUUCAAAAGUGAAAGACGGUCUUGCUGUCACUUAUAGAUGGAUCCGCGCUGCAUUAGCUAGUUGGUAAGGUAAUGGCUUACCAAGGCAACGAUGCAUAGCCGACCUGAGAGGGUGAUCGGCCACACUGGAACUGAGACACGGUCCAGACUCCUACGGGAGGCAGCAGUAGGGAAUCUUCCGCAAUGGGCGAAAGCCUGACGGAGCAACGCCGCGUGAGUGAUGAAGGUCUUCGGAUCGUAAAACUCUGUUAUUCGGGAAGAACAUAUGUGUAAGUAACUGUGCACAUCUUGACGGUACCUAAUCAGAAAGCCACGGCUAACUACGUG
This 497-nucleotide ribosomal RNA is filed under the name uncultured bacterium. Its description in RNAcentral is "partial 16S ribosomal RNA". It matches the Rfam family "Bacterial small subunit ribosomal RNA", at positions 28 to 507 of the family's 1533-position model. The record is from RNAcentral.